GACGAACGCUGGCGGCGUGCCUAAUACAUGCAAGUUGAGCGCUGAAGGUUGGUACUUGUACCAACUGGAUGAGCAGCGAACGGGUGAGUAACGCGUGGGUAAUCUGCCUUUGAGCGGGGGACAACAUUUGGAAACGAAUGCUAAUACCGCAUAAAAACUUUAAACACAAGUUUUAAGUUUGAAAGAUGCAAUUGCAUCACUCAAAGAUGAUCCCGCGUUGUAUUAGCUAGUUGGUGAGGUAAAGGCUCACCAAGGCGAUGAUACAUAGCCGACCUGAGAGGGUGAUCGGCCACAUUGGGACUGAGACACGGCCCAAACUCCUACGGGAGGCAGCAGUAGGGAAUCUUCGGGAAUGGACGAAAGUCUGACCGAGCAACGCCGCGUGAGUGAAGAAGGUUUUCGGAUCGUAAAACUCUGUUGGUAGAGAAGAACGUUGGUGAGAGUGGAAAGCGCAUCAAGUGACGGUAACUACCCAGAAAGGGACGGCUAACUACGUG
This 497-nucleotide ribosomal RNA is filed under the name uncultured bacterium. RNAcentral's name for it is "partial 16S ribosomal RNA". It matches the Rfam family "Bacterial small subunit ribosomal RNA", at positions 28 to 507 of the family's 1533-position model. The record is from RNAcentral.